UGUGUGUGUGUGUGUGUGUGUGAGCACACAAUAAAUGUGCCACAUUCUUUCCUUGAUGCUUCCUUUUUGGUGCAUUUCAAUGAAAAUAUACUAAAAGGCUUAAGGUUUGCCCCAGACACUUGGAGAUCUCAAAGCUUUUGCGUGUUUUCAACUUGGUGGGCUGUUUAUCUUAUAAUGAAAUUGUUAACAUGGAGGCGCCUGAAGAUUAUAUACUUCUGUUUUGUCCUAUAGUUCUGUGUGGAGAAGAGUUCUUAAGUGAGCUUUUCUUCAUGAAGUGAAGAUAUGUCAAUUUUGUCAAUAUUUUUAUUUCAGG
Molecule: unclassified non-coding RNA, 313 nt
Filed under: Hevea brasiliensis (rubber tree)
Lineage: Eukaryota; Viridiplantae; Streptophyta; Magnoliopsida; Malpighiales; Euphorbiaceae
Source: RNAcentral